This 502-nucleotide ribosomal RNA is filed under the name uncultured bacterium. RNAcentral's name for it is "partial 16S ribosomal RNA". It matches the Rfam family "Bacterial small subunit ribosomal RNA", at positions 28 to 523 of the family's 1533-position model. The record is from RNAcentral.
GAUGAACGCUAGCGGCAGGCCUAACACAUGCAAGUCGAGGGGCAGCACAGAAACAGCAAUGUUUUGGUGGCGACCGGCGGACGGGUGCGUAACGCGUGUACAACCUACCUUUAACAGGGGGAUAACGGAGAGAAAUUUCCACUAAUACCCCAUAACAUCGAUCAAGGCAUCUUGAUUGGUUGAAAACUCCGGUGGUUAAAGAUGGGCAUGCGUUGUAUUAGGUAGUUGGUGAGGUAAUGGCUAACCAAGCCUACGAUACAUAGGGGGACUGAGAGGUUAGCCCCCCACACUGGUACUGAGACACGGACCAGACUCCUACGGGAGGCAGCAGUGAGGAAUAUUGGUCAAUGGGGGCAACCCUGAGCCAGCCAUGCCGCGUGCAGGAAGACGGCUCUAUGAGUUGUAAACUGCUUUUAAACAGGGGUAAAGCACAGUAUGUAUACUGUGUUGAAGGUACUGUAAGAAUAAGGAUCGGCUAACUCCGUGCCAGCCGCCGCGGUAA